GACGAACGCUGGCGGCGUGCUUAACACAUGCAAGUCGAACGAUGAUCCGGAGCUUGCUCCGGGGAUUAGUGGCGAACGGGUGAGUAACACGUGAGUAACCUGCCCUUGACUCUGGGAUAAGCGUUGGAAACGACGUCUAAUACCGGAUAUGAGCUGUGGCCGCAUGGUCUGCAGUUGGAAAGAUUUUUUGGUCAAGGAUGGACUCGCGGCCUAUCAGGUAGUUGGUGAGGUAAUGGCUCACCAAGCCGACGACGGGUAGCCGGCCUGAGAGGGUGACCGGCCACACUGGGACUGAGACACGGCCCAGACUCCUACGGGAGGCAGCAGUGGGGAAUAUUGCACAAUGGGCGAAAGCCUGAUGCAGCAACGCCGCGUGAGGGAUGACGGCCUUCGGGUUGUAAACCUCUUUUAGUUGGGAAGAAGGGAGCUUGCUCUUGACGGUACCAGCAGAAAAAGCACCGGCUAACUACGUGCCAGCCGCCGCCGUAAUAC
This 492-nucleotide ribosomal RNA is filed under the name uncultured bacterium. RNAcentral's name for it is "bacterial SSU rRNA". It matches the Rfam family "Bacterial small subunit ribosomal RNA", at positions 28 to 526 of the family's 1533-position model. The record is from RNAcentral.